RNAcentral lists this ribosomal RNA (800 nucleotides) under uncultured bacterium. RNAcentral's name for it is "bacterial SSU rRNA". It matches the Rfam family "Bacterial small subunit ribosomal RNA", at positions 24 to 842 of the family's 1533-position model. The record is from RNAcentral.
UCAGGAUGAACGCUGGCGGCGUGCUUAAUACAUGCAAGUCGAACGGAGAUAGUAGCAAUAUUAUCUUAGUGGCGAACGGGUGAGUAACGCGUUGGUGACCUGCCCCGAAGAGAGGGAUAGCAGUUCGAAAGGACUGAUAAUACCCCAUGUGGUUGUCGGUUUUAGAAUCUGAUAACUAAACGGCGAAAGUCGCUUCGGGAGGGGCCUGCGUCCCAUCAGCUAGUUGGUAGGGUAAUGGCCUACCAAGGCUAUGACGGGUAGGGGACCUGAGAGGGUGGCCCCCCACAAUGGAACUGAAACACGGUCCAUACACCUACGGGUGGCAGCAGUAGGGAAUAUUGGUAAUGUGCGAAAGCGCGAACCAGCAACGCCGCGUGCACGAUGAAGGCCUUCGGGUCGUAAAGUGCUUUUAGAGAGGAUGAGGAAGGACAGUACUUUCUGAAUAAGCCUCGGCUAACUACGUGCCAGCAGCCGCGGUAAAACGUAGGAGGCAAGCGUUAUCCGGAUUUACUGGGCGUAAAGCGCAUGCAGGUGGUUUUGUAAGUUGGAUGUGAAAGCUCCUGGCUUAACUGGGAGAGGUCGUUCAAAACUACAAGACUUGAGAUUGGUAGAGGAAAAUGGAAUUCCGGGUGUAGUGGUGAAAUGCGUAGAUAUCCGGAGGAACACCGGUGGCGAAGGCGGCUUCCUGGACCGAUUCUGACGCUGAGACGCGAAAGCGUGGGGAGCAAACAGGAUUAGAUACCCUGGUAGUCCACGCCGUAAACGAUGAGGACUAGGUGUUGCGGGUAUUGACCCCUGCA